CGCUUGGGAAACAGCCGCACGGGACUCGCGAGUCGCAAGCUCCACACGACUCUAGUCUCGGGAGACCGCUGCCGCCGCCGCCACCAGUCGUCGCCACCCGCCGGCCUAUCCCGCCCUCCUCCACAACAACUUCAGAUCCAGAUCUACGGCGUAUCGAGCAGGCUGCAAGAGCAGCGGCGGCGGCCGCCGCUCCUUCCCGUCGGCCUGAAUUCUCGUCGGCCGUCCCCGCCGGCCACCCUCACCUACGAACUCCGCUGCCGUCGGUGCCUCCUCUGUAGAAAGGGCUGAGCUGCUGCGUUGGAUUGCCGUUUGCACCUGAGCCACCAAACAGACCCCCAAUUUGUGCAGGCUGCAGGAUUGGUUUCAGAUUGGUCUCCAGAUAUGUGAUGCCAAUUUGAAAUGAAGCUUUUUUGUAGCAGAGUAUGAGCAGCCGUAGCAGAAGAACCUGGUUAUUUGCAACAUCCAGUCAUUGACAUCUCUUGAGAGAUUUUGGGGCGCCAGAAUCAAGACAAUAAGCUUGUAUCUUAGAAAAAAGAUGAACAUUGUGCCUGCCUGCUAUACACACACACACACACGUAGUAGUGUAGUACUAUAAUUCCAUUAUACUAUUUUCUUGAGAAGGAUGAAGCCUGAGAAUUGACAGCAUCUAUCCAUCUUUAACUGAAUUUUGUUCUUCUCCAAGCACAAUUAUUUGCAAA
Molecule: long non-coding RNA, 698 nt
Organism: Panicum virgatum (switchgrass)
Lineage: Eukaryota; Viridiplantae; Streptophyta; Magnoliopsida; Poales; Poaceae
Exons: 4
Source: RefSeq, a predicted model, not a curated record